RNAcentral lists this ribosomal RNA (468 nucleotides) under uncultured bacterium. RNAcentral's name for it is "partial 16S ribosomal RNA". It matches the Rfam family "Bacterial small subunit ribosomal RNA", at positions 28 to 507 of the family's 1533-position model. The record is from RNAcentral.
GACGAACGCUGGCGGCGUGCUUAACACAUGCCAGUCGAACGGAAAGGCCCUGCUUUUGUGGGGUGCUCGAGUGGCGAACGGGUGAGUAACACGUGAGUAACCUGCCCUUGACUUUGGGAUAACUUCAGGAAACUGGGGCUAAUACCGGAUAGGAGCUCCUGCUGCAUGGUGGGGGUUGGAAAGUUUCGGCGGUUGGGGAUGGACUCGCGGCUUAUCAGCUUGUUGGUGGGGUAGUUGCUUACCAAGGCUUUGACGGGUAGCCGGCCUGAGAGGGUGACCGGCCACAUUGGGACUGAGAUACGGACCAGACUCCUACGGGAGGCAGCAGUGGGGAAUAUUGCACAAUGGGCGGAAGCCUGAUGCAGCAACGCCGCGUGCGGGAUGACGGCCUUCGGGUUGUAAACCGCUUUCGCCUGUGACGAAGCGUGAGUGACGGUAAUGGGUAAAGAAGCACCGGCUAACUACGUG